CCCAGACUCCUACGGGAGGCAGCAGUGGGGAAUAUUGGACAAUGGGGGGAACCCUGAUCCAGCGACGCCGCGUGAGUGAAGAAGUAUUUCGGUACGUAAAGCCCUAUCAGCAGGAAAGAAAAUGACGGUACCUGACUAAGAAGCCCCGGCUAACUACGUGCCAGCAGCCGCGGUAAUACGUAGGGGGCAAGCGUUAUCCGGAUUUACUGGGUGUAAAGGGAGCGUAGACAGCAGUGCAAGUCCGGAGUGAAAGCCCGGGGCUCAACCCUGGGACUGCUCUGGAAACUGUAAAGCUGGAGUGCGGGAGGGGCAGGCGGAAUUCCUGGUGUAGCGGUGAAAUGCGUAGAUAUCAGGAGGAACACCGGCGGCGAAGGCGGCCUGCUGGACCGUAACUGACGUUGAGGCUCGAAAGCGUGGGGAGCAAACAGGAUUAGAUACCCCGGUA
This 445-nucleotide ribosomal RNA is filed under the name uncultured bacterium. RNAcentral's name for it is "bacterial SSU rRNA". It matches the Rfam family "Bacterial small subunit ribosomal RNA", at positions 330 to 792 of the family's 1533-position model. The record is from RNAcentral.